GAUCAUGGNUCAGGAUGAACGCUAGCUACAGGCUUAACACAUGCAAGUCGAGGGGCAGCAUGGUCUUAGCUUGCUAAGGCCGAUGGCGACCGGCGCACGGGUGAGUAACACGUAUCCAACCUGCCGUCUACUCUUGGACAGCCUUCUGAAAGGAAGAUUAAUACAAGAUGGCAUCAUGAGUUCACAUGUUCACAUGAUUGAAGGUAUUCCGGUAGACGAUGGGG
Molecule: ribosomal RNA, 224 nt
Filed under: uncultured bacterium
Lineage: Bacteria
Description: partial 16S ribosomal RNA
Rfam family: Bacterial small subunit ribosomal RNA
Source: RNAcentral